UACGUAGGGCGCAAGCGUUGUCCGGAAUCAUUGGGCGUAAAGAGCGUGUAGGCGGUCCUGUAAGUCCGCUGUGAAAGUCAAGGGCUCAACCCUUGAAUGCCGGUGGAUACUGCAGGACUAGAGUCCGGAAGAGGCGAGUGGAAUUCCUGGUGUAGCGGUGAAAUGCGCAGAUAUCAGGAGGAACACCGGUGGCGAAGGCGGUUCUCUGGGCAUUACCUGACGCUGAGGAGCGAAAGUGUGGGGAGCGAACAGG
RNAcentral lists this ribosomal RNA (253 nucleotides) under uncultured bacterium. RNAcentral's name for it is "partial 16S ribosomal RNA". It matches the Rfam family "Bacterial small subunit ribosomal RNA", at positions 524 to 776 of the family's 1533-position model. The record is from RNAcentral.